Non-coding RNA from Oryctolagus cuniculus (rabbit), 3169 nucleotides. NCBI's taxonomy places the organism in Eukaryota, Metazoa, Chordata, Mammalia, Lagomorpha, Leporidae. The record is from RefSeq and is a predicted model, not a curated record.
GCCGAGCGUUUCCGGGAUGGGCGGGCCCUGGGAGGGGUGAGCGGUAAGGGGCGGGGCGCGCCUUAAAGGGCCCGGCGCCGCUUUCGGUCCACGCACACCCAGCGAGAACUUUUUACUUUGCAAGUGUCCAACCUCGAAAAAAGCUGCGAUAGUAGGCAAUGCCCAUACGCCCGCCAUGAACUGACUGUCACGUUUAAGUGACUUCUCUAUCUGCCUAACGCUGCUGAAUGAGUUCAGCCAAGUCACCACCACGCAGUGACGUCAUCCUCACGGUCGGCCCUCCAGGGCCCAGAGAGUUCGAAGACUUCACUGCGCCUGCACCGGCGGCGGCACCGGCUCUGCGUUCGCUGUCACACACUGGAGUGGAUUCGGAGGACGCGGGAGGCUGUGGCUCACACGCACUAUGACGUCACUGAUGGGGCGCGGGCGCGCGUGACGUGGGUAGAGCGGCAGGUCGCCAACUACUGCGCGCUGUCCCCUCGAGCAUGGUCUUGAUCGCGGUUCGUAGGUCUGGAACUUUCCCCCGGAGAACCCGCCUACCUCGCAUCAAGUGCAGGACUAAACCGAUCAGGAUGUCAGGGCAGGAGACGGAGCAGGCGAGGCUGAGGAGCCCGGGCGCCUCCGUCUGGGUCUGGGGGGGUGGGGUGGGGGCUGAGAACUCGGCCCUGACGCCUGCAUUGGCCGCAACUUCGCGUCAAGCUCGAGACAAAGUGGGAGAAAACAUUCGCAUCGCGUAGAGUCCAGAAAAAGGGCAAAGAUCCAAAGAUCCUCAGCGCGGAACCGCAGAGCCAUGAUGGGGGCGGGGAGUCUGAAAACCAGACCGAAAAACUGGGCAAGAAAAACCAUGAAUGUGCAAUUCUUGAAAAAAGACCUAAGAACAUGUGUGCCCUGGAGAGCCAUCUUGACUGUUAAAAAAAAAAAUAAGUUAGGAAUGAUGUUUAGAAGAUUUAUUGUAUUCAUUUAUUUGAAAGGCAGAGAUACGGAGAGAGAGGGAGAGACAGAGACAGAGAGAGAGAGAGGUCUUCCAUCCGCUGGUUCACUCCCUAAAUGGCUGCAAUAGCUGGAGCUGGAUGGGUCCAAAACCAGGAGCCAGGAGCUUCUUCCAGGUCUCCCACGUGGGUGCAGGGGCCCAAGGACUUGGACCAUCUUCUACUGCUCUCCCAGGUGCAUUAGCAGGGAGCUGGAUCGGACGUAUGGCAGCCAGGACUUGAACUGGCGUCCGUAUGGGAUGCCCGGCUGAGGGCCGUGGCCUUACCCACCACAGGGCCCCAGCGCCGGUGCCAAGAAUGACCUAAACUGGUGGGAGGCGCUCGCUUUAUUCGCCAUAGGAGAAAUGGAAGCUGUGCAGACAGCCGCGCCACGGAGGCGAUGUCACAGGAAUGUAGAGUAGGAACGGGGGAGGCUGAGUGAGGGGUGCGAUUUUUUAAAGAGAUUUGUUUACUUAGAAGGCAAAGCGACUGGCAUUGAAUAAACCGUUGGGGGGCAGGUGUUGGGCUCGGCAGCUAAGUUGCUGCCUGGGGUGCCCACAGCCCUACCAGAGCGCCUCGUUCCAGCCCCCGCUGCUCCACUUCCGAUCCAGCUUCCUGCUCACAUGCACCCUGGGAGGCAGCAGCCACGGCUCGAGUCCUGGGGUCCCUGCCCCCGCCCGCGAGGUCCUGAUUGAGUUCCGGGCUCCUGGCUUUCACGUGACCCGGCCCAGGAUGUCGGGUGCUCUGGUGGGGACCAGCAGAUGGAAGCCGUCUCUCCAUCGGUCUCUGCCUUUCAACUAGAAACAACGGUGAGCACACAUUGAAGAAUAAAGCUGCAGGCGCCUGAGUGCUCUGACAUCACGCUGCCUUGUCCACAGCAGGCGCUACCCACAGACACACGGCACACCCAGUCGGGGUCUCUUCUCCCUAGAGGGAGGCCAGGCGAUGGCCUGGAGGUGGCGGUCACACCACACCCUGCGGUCUUUCUCCGGCCGAGCGAUGCUGCAAGCCAAUUCUGAACCCGUGGACCCAUGUGGGCUCUGACGCUGACACCAGGAGCAAACCAGCAGGUGAAAGAUCCCCCCCAUCUCUGUUUCUCUGCCUUUCAACUUAAAUGAAAAUUCAAAAAACAUUUUUAAAGAGAAAAAAAAAAACGCCAAAGCCAGGACAGCUGAAUGAGGAAGAGGAACCAGCCAGCCAUGAAGAAAUCUUGGGCAAGAGCCUUCCAGACAGAAGCAAGGGCGGCAGUGUGUGCAAGGGUCCUGGGGCACCGAGGAGCUUGCCUUGUUGGGAGGACAGAAGGGAGGACCCUGAGGGCAGGGUGGCGACGUGAGAGAGGGGAGGACUCCUGGCUUGCCACAGAGUAACCCCCCAAAGCUUCCUCCAGGCGCCUCCCCCCACUGCCUGCACUGCCGGUGAGCUGAGCCCCCUCCUCACCCUCUCAAAGGACUCCGUUGCUGUCAGUACCCACAGUACCCAUCAUCGCCAUAUUUGCUAAUCAUAUACUGGGUGUCACAAUCACCCGGGAAGUUCCCACUGCCACUGUUCCAAUUGUGCAGAAGGGGAAACCUGUUCAAGCAGAUGACCUGACUUGUCCCCGUCACAAAGCCUGCAGAGACAGCACUGCGGAUGCUACCCACUGCGGCCACCAGGGGGCGCACCUCGCCCGGUCCCACUUGCUUGCCCAGGCAGUGUUUCACACCUGGCGGACAGAGGCCAGACUGGUGCCGCCCGCAGCAAGCGUCCCUGCCCCAGCCCUGUUUCCUUAGGGUCCGUGGUCUGAGUGACGUCAGCACUCCGAGCCAGGAGGAUCCAGCCGGCUGCACGAGGGUUGGCACUGAGUGCACUGAGACACCACCCCGGGGCUGCCUGAGGAUGCCUGGGGCUCAGUCCCGGCUCUGCUCCUCACCCCGCUUCCUACCAAUGUGCACCCUGGGUCUAGCCGCUCUGGAGAUCCAGCUGGUAACCACUACCUAGAAGGGACCCAAAGCUGACAGAGUGAGGCGAUGGCCGGGGUCUCGCCAAAGCUGACCCGGUGACCGUGCCAGUGGCAAUGGCCCCGUGGAAAUGCACAUCUCGGACAGGAGCAAGUGCCGGCCGCGAAGCCCGCGCCAUCUGCUGGAGCUGCUGACUGCUAAGUGGCGCCUGCCCUGGACCUGCGGUGCAGAAACGCAAGCCCCUGUCACAAGGACGUCUCGGAA